GACGAACGCUGGCGGCGUGCUUAACACAUGCAAGUCGAACGGUGAAGCUCCAGCUUUCUGGAGUGGACCAUUGGCGAACGGGGGUGUGACACGUGAGCAACCUGCACCUGUCUCUGGGAUAAGACCUGGAAACGGCGUCUAUUACUGCAUACGAGAAGGUUCCGCGUGUGCACUGUCUGGAAAGUUUGUCGGUUGGGGAUGGGCUCGCGGGCUAUCAGCUUGUUGGUGAGGUAAUGGCUCACCAAGGCGACGACGGGUAGCCGGCCUGAGAGGGCGACCGGCCACACUGGGACUGAGGCACGGCACAGACUGCUACGGGAGGCAGCAGUGGGGAAGACUGCACAAUGGGCGACAGCCUGAUGCAGAGACGCCGCGUGACGGAUGACUGCCUUCGGGUUGUAAAACUCUUUCAGCAGGGAAGAAGCGCAAGUGACGGUACCUGCAGAAGAAGCCCCGGCUAACUACGUG
RNAcentral lists this ribosomal RNA (468 nucleotides) under uncultured bacterium. RNAcentral describes it as "partial 16S ribosomal RNA". It matches the Rfam family "Bacterial small subunit ribosomal RNA", at positions 28 to 507 of the family's 1533-position model. The record is from RNAcentral.